This 262-nucleotide ribosomal RNA is filed under the name uncultured bacterium. RNAcentral describes it as "partial small subunit ribosomal RNA". It matches the Rfam family "Bacterial small subunit ribosomal RNA", at positions 26 to 290 of the family's 1533-position model. The record is from RNAcentral.
AGGACGAACGCUGGCGGCGUGCUUAACACAUGCAAGUCGAGCGGUGACGCACCUUCGGGUGCUGAUCAGCGGCGAACGGGUGAGUAACACGUGGGCAACCUGCCCCUAACACUGGGAUAACCUCGGGAAACCGUGGCUAAUACCGGAUAUGACUUCAAGCGGCAUCUCUUGAAGUGUAAAGCUCCGACGGUUAGGGAUGGGCCCGCGGCCUAUCAGCUUGUUGGUGGGGUAAUGGCCUACCAAGGCGACGACGGGUAGCCGG